RNAcentral lists this small RNA (169 nucleotides) under Listeria monocytogenes. RNAcentral's name for it is "rli28". It matches the Rfam family "Listeria sRNA rli28". Lineage: Bacteria; Bacillati; Bacillota; Bacilli; Caryophanales; Listeriaceae. The record is from RNAcentral. RNAcentral also lists the same sequence under 1 other name.
GUUUCAAUGCUAUACAAAAAGAGUAAGCAAGUUUAUGGUGGUGGCUAGCUCUUACAACAAGAAAGGGUGAUGCUAUGAAUAUUUUUGUUAGGAUUGCCUGGAAAGGAUAACCCAUGACUGUUUAUGAAGCACUGUCUUUUGCAACCCUGGUGUUGCUAUUGAACAGUCA